This 18-nucleotide ribosomal RNA is filed under the name Amanita sp. 'albiceps'. RNAcentral describes it as "partial 18S ribosomal RNA". The record is from RNAcentral. Lineage: Eukaryota; Fungi; Basidiomycota; Agaricomycetes; Agaricales; Amanitaceae.
CUCGCGGAAGGAUCAUUA